GCCACCUGAGGGUGGCAGCAGCAGUUUAGGUCCAAGAGUUCCCGAACAUUUGCUGCGCUGGUGGAGGUCGACAGUGUAGUGGGCGUCACAAAAACCUGUGCCCGUGCCUGGAGACACCAGAGUCCUCAGCGGCAGACACAGGAGCAGAGAGCCAGAGUCCCAAGAGAUGAACAAGGCGGGAAGACAGAUGAAGUCCCUAGUGGGAGAGACGCCAAAGUCGUCCUCCAGCCUCCAUGAGUGAAGCGCCAUCGCUGCCCUUGGCUCUCAUGACUCACAUCCCAGCUGCCGGGAUGACAAGCGUGCACAGCCAGACCCAGUCGGGGACAAACUCCAGGGUUUGUGUUUCUCACCUCAAAUGUGUACCAAUAUCCCAAGACACAUCCAUGUGAACUUUAGAGAAACUGAUGAUGCUCAUCUUUGUAUAUGCCAACCAUUAAAGAACCCUAAAUAAACGAACCCUCAACUGCUCUUUUAGAAUAUACUUCUUAGCCACAUGGUAGCACAGGCCUGUAACCUGAGCACUCGGAAGGUGGAGGCAGGAGGUCAAGGGAUUGAGGCCAGCCUGAAUUCCGGGUCAGCCCUCAUAGAAAAGUAUCUCAGUUUGGCCACACCUCCACCCUCUUAGAAACAGGAUCUCAAUGUUAUGGUCCGGGCUAGUUGGGAAUUCACUACAUAGACCAGGCUGGCCUCAAACUCAGAGACCUGCCUGCCUCUACUUCUGCUGGGCACAA
This is a non-coding RNA of Peromyscus maniculatus bairdii (prairie deer mouse), 731 nucleotides long. The record is from RefSeq and is a predicted model, not a curated record. NCBI's taxonomy places the organism in Eukaryota, Metazoa, Chordata, Mammalia, Rodentia, Cricetidae.